Molecule: ribosomal RNA, 453 nt
Filed under: uncultured bacterium
Lineage: Bacteria
Description: bacterial SSU rRNA
Rfam family: Bacterial small subunit ribosomal RNA
Source: RNAcentral
CAAGUCGAACGGUAACAGGUCUUCGGAUGCUACGAGUGGCGAACGGGUGAGUAAUGUAUCGGAACGUGCCCAGUAGUGGGGGGAUAACGUACUCGAAAGAGUGGCUAAUACCGCAUGAGAACUGAGGUUGAAAGCGGGGGACCUUCGGGCCUCGCGCUACUGGAGCGGCCGAUAUCAGAUUAGGUAGUUGGUGGGGUAAAGGCCUACCAAGCCGACGAUCUGUAGCUGGUCUGAGAGGACGACCAGCCACACUGGGACUGAGACACGGCCCAGACUCCUACGGGAGGCAGCAGUGGGGAAUUUUGGACAAUGGGCGAAAGCCUGAUCCAGCCAUUCCGCGUGCAGGAUGAAGGCCCUCGGGUUGUAAACUGCUUUUGUACAGAACGAAAAGGUUUCUACUAAUACUAGGAGCUCAUGACGGUACUGUAAGAAUAAGCACCGGCUAACUACGUG